RNAcentral lists this transfer RNA (74 nucleotides) under bacterium. RNAcentral's name for it is "tRNA-Asp". It matches the Rfam family "tRNA". Rfam says of the family: Transfer RNA (tRNA) molecules are approximately 80 nucleotides in length. Their secondary structure includes four short double-helical elements and three loops (D, anti-codon, and T loops). RNAcentral also lists the same sequence under 1 other name. The record is from RNAcentral.
GGCCCUGUAGCUCAAUUGGUUAGAGCAUCGGACUGUCGAUCCGAAGGUUGCGAGUUCAAGUCUCGUCGGGGUCG